RNAcentral lists this ribosomal RNA (558 nucleotides) under uncultured bacterium. RNAcentral describes it as "bacterial SSU rRNA". It matches the Rfam family "Bacterial small subunit ribosomal RNA", at positions 325 to 883 of the family's 1533-position model. The record is from RNAcentral.
CACGGUCCAAACUCCUACGGGAGGCAGCAGUGAGGAAUAUUGGUCAAUGGACGAGAGUCUGAACCAGCCAAGUAGCGUGAAGGAUGACUGCCCUAUGGGUUGUAAACUUCUUUUAUACGGGAAUAAAGUGAGCCACGUGUGGCUUUUUGUAUGUACCGUAUGAAUAAGGAUCGGCUAACUCCGUGCCAGCAGCCGCGGUAAUACGGAGGAUCCGAGCGUUAUCCGGAUUUAUUGGGUUUAAAGGGAGCGUAGGCGGGUUGUUAAGUCAGUUGUGAAAGUUUGCGGCUCAACCGUAAAAUUGCAGUUGAUACUGGCGACCUUGAGUGCAACAGAGGUAGGCGGAAUUCGUGGUGUAGCGGUGAAAUGCUUAGAUAUCACGAAGAACUCCGAUUGCGAAGGCAGCUUACUGGAUUGUAACUGACGCUGAUGCUCGAAAGUGUGGGUAUCAAACAGGAUUAGAUACCCUGGUAGUCCACACAGUAAACGAUGAAUACUCGCUGUUGGCGAUAUACUGUCAGCGGCCAAGCGAAAGCAUUAAGUAUUCCACCUGGGGAGUUA